RNAcentral lists this microRNA precursor (168 nucleotides) under Oryza brachyantha (malo sina). RNAcentral describes it as "MIR812 microRNA precursor family". It matches the Rfam family "MIR812 microRNA precursor family", at positions 27 to 191 of the family's 205-position model. The record is from Rfam by way of RNAcentral. Lineage: Eukaryota; Viridiplantae; Streptophyta; Magnoliopsida; Poales; Poaceae.
UACAAUAUUUGAUGCUUUGUCUUAUUAAAAAAAUUUUAUGAUUAAUAUUUUUGUUUUUAUUAGAUGAAAAAUCAUGAAUAGUGCUUUACGUGUGACUAACUUUCUUUUUCAAUUUUUUGAAAAAUUUUCAAAUAAGACGGGUGAUUAAACGCUAGACACAAAUGGUCA